This is a long non-coding RNA of Hordeum vulgare subsp. vulgare (domesticated barley), 460 nucleotides long. RefSeq lists it as uncharacterized. The transcript is spliced from 2 exons. Lineage: Eukaryota; Viridiplantae; Streptophyta; Magnoliopsida; Poales; Poaceae. The record is from RefSeq and is a predicted model, not a curated record.
CUCAAGUUAUUCAAUCCAAGGUUUGACAAUGGCCUCCAAGAUAGCACUAGUAGUCUUGUCUCUACCGGUGUUAGCAUUCUUCCUCUGCAUUGGUACUGCAGAAGCUGGCCCGCAGUGCACAUACAAGAUUAAUCCUUACUAUCAUGGUAGGUGCAAGACAGAUUAUGACAACGACAAUUGUCGAAUUGCUUGUACAAGAUUUGAGGCACCAAAGUACAUGGGUGGUGUAUGUUCUGAUGAACAAUGCGUCUGCUAUACUUGUUAAUGAUCGUCGGACUCAUCCACCACUCGGGGAGAUACAUCACUUGUGCCUUGGUGGACACCACCAUGGAAAGAUUAGAGCUCCUAGGAAGAUUGCUUUCUUUUAUUGUAUCAGAAUAAAUUGGCAAUGUGUCUGAUUGUGCUUUAGCAAGUAUUUAUUUCUGAUGAGUUAUGAUGAAGAGUUUCCAAUCGAUUUAAA